CGCUGACGACCGGCGCACGGGUGCGUAACGCGUAUAGAACCUACCUUAUAUUGGGGGAUAGCCCAGAGAAAUUUGGAUUAAUACCCCAUAGUAUGCUGAAGUGGCAUCGCUUUAGUAUUAAAGAUUUAUCGAUAUAAGAUGGCUAUGCGUUCUAUUAGCUAGUUGGUAUGGUAACGGCAUACCAAGGCUACGAUAGAUAGGGGUCCUGAGAGGGAGAUCCCCCACACUGGUACUGAGACACGGACCAGACUCCUACGGGAGGCAGCAGUGAGGAAUAUUGGACAAUGGAGGCAACUCUGAUCCAGCCAUGCCGCGUGCAGGAAGACUGCCCUAUGGGUUGUAAACUGCUUUUAUAGAGGAAGAAACCCCCCGACGAGUCGGGGUCCGACGGUACUCUACGAAUAAGGAUCGGCUAACUCCGUGCCAGCAGCCGCGGUAAUACGGAGGAUCCAAGCGUUAUCCGGAAUCAUUGGGUUUAAAGGGUCCGUAGGCGGAUUUGUAAGUCAGUGGUGAAAGUUUGCGGCUCAACCGUAAAAUUGCCAUUGAUACUGCAAGUCUUGAAUCAUUGUGAAGUGGUUAGAAUAUGUAGUGUAGCGGUGAAAUGCAUAGAUACUACAUAGAAUACCGAUUGCGAAGGCAGAUCACUAACAAUGUAUUGACGCUAAGGGACGAAAGCGUGGGCAGCGAACAGGAUUAGAUACCCUGGUAGUCCACGCCGUAAACGAUGGUCACUAGCUGUUUGGUUUUCGGACUGAGUGGCUAAGCGAAAGUGAUAAGUGACCCACCUGGGGAGUACGUUCGCAAGAAUGAAACUCAAAGGAAUUGACGGGGGCCCGCACAAGCGGUGGAGCAUGUGGUUUAAUUCGAUGAUACGCGAGGAACCUUACCAGGGCUUAAAUGUAGUCUGACAGCUUUAGAGAUAGAG
This 925-nucleotide ribosomal RNA is filed under the name uncultured bacterium. RNAcentral describes it as "bacterial SSU rRNA". It matches the Rfam family "Bacterial small subunit ribosomal RNA", at positions 86 to 1011 of the family's 1533-position model. The record is from RNAcentral.